UUUACCUCAAAAUAGCUGGAAUGCGUAAUAAAGCUGUUAUAUUCGAUAAAGCAUUGUGGGACGAAACGUUUUCAAUUUAUUCUCAAAAUUUCAAUGAGUAUGACGUCUUGCUUGCUUGAAUGAAGCGUGGAAAUGAAUGUUUACACAAUGUAGGCCAUUUUUGGUAAGCAGAAUUGGCGCUGUGAGAUGAACCA
This 194-nucleotide non-coding RNA is filed under the name Onchocerca ochengi. RNAcentral describes it as "Eukaryotic large subunit ribosomal RNA". It matches the Rfam family "Eukaryotic large subunit ribosomal RNA", at positions 967 to 1170 of the family's 3401-position model. The record is from Rfam by way of RNAcentral. Lineage: Eukaryota; Metazoa; Nematoda; Chromadorea; Rhabditida; Onchocercidae.